UGGGAAAGCCACAGGCACUGACCACCAGCCA
This 31-nucleotide non-coding RNA is filed under the name Homo sapiens (human). The record is from RNAcentral. Lineage: Eukaryota; Metazoa; Chordata; Mammalia; Primates; Hominidae.